Nicotiana tabacum (common tobacco) is the source of this 3361-nucleotide non-coding RNA. The record is from RefSeq and is a predicted model, not a curated record. Lineage: Eukaryota; Viridiplantae; Streptophyta; Magnoliopsida; Solanales; Solanaceae.
UGAACAAUCAACUUCAUGCUGAAAUUGUCAAUGAGUUGAAGCAAAUGCUUGAUGACAACAAUGUUCUUGCAAAGUCAUUUAGAAUGGUAAGAGAUCAAUUUUAAACGGAUGGAACCUCAAAUGUUAGACUUAGAUUGAUUGGGAAAAGAGGCUCUGAUGGAAGAAGAUACAAUUUACCAACAGUUUCAGAGGUAGCUGCCUUGAUUGUUGGAGAUUUUGAACAAAGAAGGUCUGACAGAGAUAUCAUAGUUGAAAGUCAAUCUGGACAACUACGAAGGAUAAAUGAAUUAAAUGUAUCAUACUUAGGUUUGCAAUAUCCAUUACUAUUUCCGUAUGGUGAAGAUGGAUACAGAGAAGAUAUUCCUUUAAAUGAUAUUGAUGAUUCAACCGGUGGAAGGAAAUAUGUUAGCACGCGUGAGUACUUAUCAUAUAAAAUUCAAGAAUGGAAGGAUGAAGAUCCAACAAUUGUAUCAGGUAGAAGAUUAUUUCAGUAAUUAUUGGUAAAUGGUUAUACAAUGAUGGAAUCUUCUCGAUUGAGGUUCAUUAGGCUUCAUCAAAAACAAUUGAGAGCACACUUUUAUAAAAGGUUACAAGAUGUUGUUUUACAUGGCGACAUAGAACCUUCUUCUCAAUGACAAAGAGUUAUACUUUCUUCCAGCUUUACGGGAGGUGCACGUUACAUGUUGCAAAAUUAUCAAUAUGCUAUGAUAAGUUGCAAAUGGGCGGGGUACCCUGAUCUGUUCAUCACUUUUACUUGCAACCCAAAAUGGCCAGAGAUUACUAGAUUUGUGGAGAGUAGGGGAUUAUCUCCAAAAGAUCGUUCCGACAUUUUAACAAGGGUUUUCAAAAUCAAGCUGGAUCGCAUGAUAAAUGAUCUACGAGACAAUAAAGUUUUUGGAGAAGUAAAAGCAGAAUUACCUCUAAAGUUUGUGUGGAAACAAAACCUAAAAAGAUGGGAAAAAAGAAGAACAUCUGCAUUUUCUAUUGGGAGAAUAUUCUUUGUUCCACCUGGCUCUGGCGAGCAAUAUUACCUUGGAUUGUUGUUGGAUGUCAUUAAAGGUCCAAAGAGCUAUGAGGAUUUAAAAAAAAUAACGGUUGUGAUCAUGGGACUUUUAGAGAUGCAUGUUAUGCUCCGGGUUUAUUAGAUGAUGACAAGGAAUAUGUAGAUGCUAUAAUGGAAGCAAGUAAUUGGAGAAUGACAUCAUAUCUUAGACAAUUAUUUGCUAUGCUACUUUUAUCAAAUUCAAUGUCAUGUCCAAAAAGUGUUUGGCAAGCAACAUGUCAUUUACUAUCAGAAGAUAUCCUUCAUGAAGAAAGAAGAAUAUUGGAUCACCCAGAAGCUGACCUAACAGAUGAAGAAUUGAAAAAUCGUUGUUUGCAAAAGCUUGAAAUUUUUUUGAAAGGUUGUGGAAGAAGUUUCCAGGAUUUUCCAACAAUGCCAAGGCCUGUUUAUAAUACGGAAGAAGUUGACAACAGCAACAGAUUAAUACGGGAUGAAUUGCAUUAUAAUAAACGCAUUUGGCAGAGGAACAUCAACAAUUAGUAAAGAAUUUGACAGAUGAGCAAAAGUCAGUUUAUGAAAAAAAUAAUAAGAGAUGUGAAUGAAGACAAAGGUGGAUUUUUCUUUUUAUAUGGUUUUGGAGGAACAGGCAAGACUUUUAUUUGGAGAACUCUGUCUUCUGCCAUAAGAUCUAGAGGAGAUAUUGUGUUAACUGUUGCAUCUAGCGGGAUUGCAUCUUUGUUGUUACCAGGUGGUCGAACAACUCAUUCAAGAUUUGUGAUUCCUCUAAAUGUAACUGAAGAUUCAACAUGUAAUAUCAAGCAAGGUACUCCUUUAGCAAAUUUAAUUAUUAAGGCAAAGUUGAUUAUUUGGGAUGAGGCACCUAUGAUGCAUAGAUAUUGUUUUGAAACUCUUGAUAAAACUUUAAGAGAUAUUCUUAGGUUUAAAGAUGCAUCCAAUUUACACCGACCAUUUGGAGGUAAAACAAUUGUUCUUGGUGGUGACUUCAGAUAAAUAUUACCUGUCAUUCCAAAAGGUAGUAGACAAGAUAUUGUUAAUUCUUCUCUCAAUUCUUCUUAUUUGUGGCCUCACUGUCAACUCUUAAAGUUAACAAAGAAUAUGAGAUUACAAGGUAAUAAAAUAGGGACACAUCUAGAUGAGUUGAGAGUUUUUUCAGAUUGGAUUUUGGCAAUUGGCGAUGGUAUAGUCGAUACUUCUGUUAAGGGCAAUGAAAAAGUCCAAAUACCAGAUGAUCUUUUGAUAAAACAAUCUGUUGAUCCAACAUCUGCAAUUGUAGAAAGUACAUAUCUGGAUUUCAACAAUCGUUGCAAUGAUAUAGGAUACCUCCAGCAAAGAGCCAUUGUUACUCCAACUAUUGAUAUAGUGGAAUCAAUCAACGAAUAUAUGAUUUCUCUUAAUCAAAGUUCUGAGAAAUCAUAUUUGAGUUCCGAUACAAUCUGCAGCUCUGACAAUACUUAUUCAACACUGGAACAUGUACACACUCCUGAAUUCUUAAAUACAAUUAAAUGUUCUGGAGUUCCAAAUCAUGCUCUUACUCUAAAGGUUGGUAUUCCAGUAAUGUUAUUAAGAAAUAUUGAUCAGUCAGUAGGAUUAUGUAAUGGAACAAGGUUGAUCACAACUAAAUUUGGAAAUCAAGUUAUUGAAGCCAAGGUGUUAGCAGGACAAAUGGCCGGACAUAAAGUGUUUAUUCCAAGAAUGACAUUGACUCCAUCUGAUGCUAGAAUUCCAUUUAAUUUCCAGCGAAGACAAUUUCUAAUUAUUGUUUCUUUUGCCAUGACAAUCAAUAAAAGUCAAGGACAAUCAUUGUCUCACGUGGGUUUAUUGAAAAAACCAGUUUUUAUACAUGGACAACUAUAUGUUGCUCUUUCUUGGGUGACAAGCAGAAAGGGAUUAAAAAUUUUGGUUUGUGAUGACAAUGGGCAAAUAACUACUAAAGAUACAAAUGUUGUAUUUAAAGAAGUUUUUCGAAAUUUAGUUUGACACUAGAAAGAUAAUCAGUGUCUUUUUUGAGGUUUAAGUACUACUUUUGUUACUGAGCUUCAUUAACCAAGUGCGACAAUAGCUGUUGAUAAGAUAUCUGAAACAUGUAAUAGAUCUAUCAGGAUUUUCCAUAACAUGGAUUAACGGGACUUCUUACAUCGCAUUUGUGAAGAAGCACAGAAUGUCAUUUUUGUAAUGUCGAUUUGAAAGAGGGGAUUGUCACUGGAGGUUAAGCUUGGCCACUGCUUCAAAUUUGGCAUUAGUACUGGAGAUGAUGUUCAAUGUCAACUUUCAAAGGUGGAGUGAUGUCGUUUAAUGAUGGUGGUCCUUCAAGGAAAUCCCAAGCCCAGUUUCUCAAAG